UAGUCUGGUGCCAGCAGCCGCGGUAAUUCCAGCUCCAAUAGCGUAUAUUAAAGUUGUUGCAGUUAAAACGCUCGUAGUCGGAUUUCGGGGCAGGUUUGCCGGUCUGCCGAUGGGUAUGCACUGGUAGAACUGUCCUUCCUUCCGGAGACGGCGCCUACUCUUAACUGAGCGGGUGUCGGAGACGGAUCGUUUACUUUGAAAAAAUCAGAGUGUUUCAAGCAGGCAGCUCGCUUUUGCAUGGAUUAGCAUGGGAUAAUGAAAUAGGACUUUGGUGCUAUUUUGUUGGUUUCGAACACCGAAGUAAUGAUUAACAGGGACAGUCAGGGGCACUCGUAUUCCGCCGAGAGAGGUGAAAUUCUUAGACCAGCGGAAGACGAACCACUGCAAAAGCAUUUGCCAGGGAUGUUUUCACUGAUCAAGAACGAAAGUUAGGGGAUCGAAGACGAUCAGAUACCGUCGUAGUCUUAACCAUAAACCAUGCCGACUAGGGAUUGGAGGAUGUUCCUAUGUGACUCCUUCAGCACCUUUCGGGAAACUAAAGUCUUUGGGUUCCGGGGGGAGUAUGGUCGCAAGGCUGAAACUUAAAGGAAUUGACGGAAGGGCACCACCAGGAGUGGAGCCUGCGGCUUAAUUUGACUCAACACGGGGAAACUUACCAGGUCCAGACAUUGUGAGGAUUGACAGAUUGAGAGCUCUUUCUUGAUUCGAUGGGUGGUGGUGCAUGGCCGUUCUU
This 733-nucleotide ribosomal RNA is filed under the name uncultured eukaryote. RNAcentral's name for it is "SSU rRNA". It matches the Rfam family "Eukaryotic small subunit ribosomal RNA", at positions 557 to 1295 of the family's 1831-position model. The record is from RNAcentral.